GCCUGGAUAGCUCAGUUGGUUAGAGAGUGGUGCUGAUAGCACCAAGAUUGCAGGUUCGAUCCCCGGAUCUGGAACCCAGGCA
This is a non-coding RNA of Podarcis lilfordi (Lilford's wall lizard), 82 nucleotides long. Lineage: Eukaryota; Metazoa; Chordata; Lepidosauria; Squamata; Lacertidae. The record is from the annotation of a GenBank genome assembly.